CAUGCAAGUCGAACGGACGAUGAAGAGCUUGCUUUUCAGAGUUAGUGGCGGACGGGUGAGUAACGCGUGGGCAACCUGCCUCAUACAGGGGGAUAGCAGCUGGAAACGGCUGAUAAAACCGCAUAAGCGCACAGCAUCGCAUGAUGCAGUGUGAAAAACUCCGGUGGUAUGAGAUGGACCCGCGUCUGAUUAGCUAGUUGGUGAGGUAACGGCCCACCAAGGCGACGAUCAGUAGCCGGCCUGAGAGGGUGACCGGCCACAUUGGGACUGAGACACGGCCCAAACUCCUACGGGAGGCAGCAGUGGGGAAUAUUGCACAAUGGGGGAAACCCUGAUGCAGCGACGCCGCGUGAAGGAAGAAGUAUCUCGGUAUGUAAACUUCUAUCAGCAGGGAAGAUAAUGACGGUACCUGACUAAGAAGCCCCGGCUAACUACGUGCCAGCAGCCGCGGUAAUACGUAGGGGGCAAGCGUUAUCCGGAUUUACUGGGUGUAAAGGGAGCGUAGGCGGCGGAGCAAGUCAGAAGUGAAAGCCCGGGGCUCAACCCCGGGACGGCUUUUGAAACUGCCCUGCUUGAUUUCAGGAGAGGUAAGCGGAAUUCCUAGUGUAGCGGUGAAAUGCGUAGAUAUUAGGAGGAACACCAGUGGCGAAGGCGGCUUACUGGACUGACAAUG
RNAcentral lists this ribosomal RNA (673 nucleotides) under uncultured Lachnospiraceae bacterium. RNAcentral describes it as "bacterial SSU rRNA". It matches the Rfam family "Bacterial small subunit ribosomal RNA", at positions 54 to 742 of the family's 1533-position model. Lineage: Bacteria; Bacillati; Bacillota; Clostridia; Lachnospirales; Lachnospiraceae. The record is from RNAcentral.